CGUAUGUAGUUUUUUAAUGAACACUUUAGAAAGACUUUUAUUUAAAAAUGAAGGGAGUAUGUUUUUUUGAGAAAUUGGACAGUUUGGAUUGAGAUUUCCAUAUAGAAAACCACCGACGGAAACGGCGACUGCCCUCGCGCACGUGGCCACGCGGCCGCCGCCGCCUUGAUCUCCUCGCUUCGGCCUGCCCCACGUCUGGCGAGCCCUGAUCCGGCACCCCCGUGACGCGCUCUCUCCUCUCCUCUAGUUUUCCUCUCUGCUUGUUCACCCGCCAUGGCUCCCCACGCUCCGGCAUCCACGGCCAUCGCGACCUCUCUUGCAGCUCUUGCCGAGUCCUCCCCACUUCGUCGACGGGAGCCGUUCCGGCAUCCUUGUC
Molecule: long non-coding RNA, 376 nt
Filed under: Hordeum vulgare
Lineage: Eukaryota; Viridiplantae; Streptophyta; Magnoliopsida; Poales; Poaceae
Description: long non-coding RNA (HVUL_LNC017899)
Source: RNAcentral